This 1364-nucleotide long non-coding RNA is filed under the name Cyanistes caeruleus (blue tit). RNAcentral describes it as "lncRNA (ENSCCEG00000017990.1)". Lineage: Eukaryota; Metazoa; Chordata; Aves; Passeriformes; Paridae. The record is from RNAcentral.
UAGUUUUGAUUGUUUCUUUCUCCUGUGUGCUAAACAUUCCCCUGUGUGAGAGGAAUGAUCUGUUGGGGUGAACGUCUCAUAAGCUGUUGUCACCCAACAGAACUUGUGAGGAGCUCAGGUGCUCUUCCUCUUGUUUUGCCCCUUCUGAGGACAGGGCUGGCAAUGCUCCCUCUGGACUAUUGAGGGCAAAGCCUGAGAGAAAUAUUGGGCACAUUCCUGAAAUGUAGGGUACAUUGAAAUGAAGCACAGCCUAUUCAACAGAGGCAGCCCAUUUCAUUGCUCUGCAAUCUCUGACCUUCAUUCUUAAUUCUCUUCUUUUCAGUUCAUGGAGAAUUUAUAGUUGUAUCAGGCAAAUCAUCGGAGCCUGAUGUUGUCACUCUCGGUGAUGAUGAUGAAUCUCCUAUGGUAAGUAGUGACUGGCACACUCCUCUCCAUGUUGCAUGCAGAUUAAUUUUCAUGCCCUCUGGAAUCUUACUAAGUCCCCUGGCCUCCAAGGCUGAAAGAUGCCUCUGAUGUAGCACUUUAGACACAGUUCCCAGUCAACCCCAAACACACUCACAAACACAUCAGCAUACCUGAGAAUCAGUUGCAGAGAGUGGAUGAACACCCUAAAAGAGGUUGUUGCUUCAAGUGAUUGAAAAGAGAGCCCAUGAUGAUGAAAUGAUACCAUUUACAUUUGGAGAGAAAAAGGCUGCCUGAGGCAGAUGAACCUUUGCUUUGCACAGAACCUUGGAGACAAGUGUGGGGGUAUGUCAGAGAAUGGGGAUUACUUGCUUCAAAUCUCAGAGAUGGCUGACUCACUACACCUUUUUUCAACCAGGACACUUCAGAGCAGGGAAACCCCAAAUCCUCCCUAAAUGCAGAAAACUGAGAGUUAAAGACAGCAGGCUUCUUCAGAGGAAAUGUGCCAGGGCUAGUCAGUGCAUUUGCAUGAUUAUUUGAGAUUUUAUGUAUGAAGAACCAUUGAAGUGUGAUGAUAUUAACAGCUGCAUGUUCUUUCUGCUUCUGUUCCCUCUAGUGCAGAGCCAGGAAUUGUUAUUAAGUGUCCAAUUUGCAUGGACUUUUACUCGGAGAUUGGGCAAAGUGCACGAGAGCUUGUGUCAAUCGUGUUCUGCAGCGCGUGCCUCCCUGCUGCCCUGGACACUACCAGCAUGUGCCCAACCUGCAGAGCGGAAUGCAAUCCAGAAAUGUAUUUUCCAGUUUAUUUAGGAGUGCUUCUGUUUCUCAGGAGUCAGAUGGAUCCUGGGGAAUAGGCAAUGUAGAGGCUUGUUUCUUUAUGUAUAUAGUUCUUCCUGUACAUAGUUUCAUUUUUGCUGAGUUUAGUUAGAAAUAAAGUUUUGAUUGAUUUAAAUCUAGUCUGUCUG